GGCGGACGGCACAGUAACACGUGGAUAACUUAUCCUUUGGACCGGGAUAACCCCUGGGAAACUGGGGCUAAUACCGGAUAGAGCAUUGAUAGCUGGAAUGCGCGGUGCUCGAAAGCUGAGGCGCCGAAGGUAGUCUGCGGCCGAUUAGGUUGUUGUUGAUGUAAUGGAUCAACAAGCCACUGAUCGGUAUGGGUUGUGAGAGCAAUAUCCCAGAGAUGGGUUCUGAGAAAAGAACCCAGGUCCUACGGGACGCAUCAGGCGCGAAAACUUUACAAUGUGCGAAAGCACGAUAAGGGAACUCUGAGUGCCUCCAAAGGAGGCUGUUCAGGUGUUUAAAAAGCAUCUGAAGGAAGGGCUGGGCAAGACUGGUGCCAGCCGCCGCGGUAACACCAGCAGCCCAAGUGGUGGCCACUUUUACUGGGUCUAAAGCGUUCGUAGCCGGCUAAGUAAGUUCUUUGGGAAAUUUGGUCGCUUAACGAUCAAGCUUCCAAAGGAUACUGCUUAGCUUGGGACCGGAAGAGGUCAGAGGUACUUCAAGGGUAGGGGUGAAAUCCGUUAAUCCUUGUGGGACCGCCAGUAGCGAAGGCGUCUGACCAGACCGGAUCCGACGGUGAUGGACGAAGGCUAGGUAGCGAACCGGAUUAGAUACCCGGGUAGUCCUAGCUGUAAACGAUGCGGGCUAUGUGUUGGCAUUACUGCGAGUAAUGCCAGUGUCGAAGGGAAGCCGUUAAGCCCGCCAUCUGGGGAGUACGGUCGCAAGGCUGAAACUUAAAGGAAUUGGCGGGGGACACUACAACGGGUGGAGCUUGCGGUUCAAUUGGAUUCAACGCCGGAAAACUCACCGGA
RNAcentral lists this ribosomal RNA (846 nucleotides) under uncultured archaeon. RNAcentral's name for it is "bacterial SSU rRNA". It matches the Rfam family "Archaeal small subunit ribosomal RNA", at positions 80 to 934 of the family's 1478-position model. The record is from RNAcentral.